GGGCUUGUGGUUUAGUGGUAUAAUACUCCCUUAGCAUCUGCACGGUUUCUUUCACGAAUGCCUCACGAGAUUGGGAGUGGUCCGGGGUUCGAUUCCCCGCGAGUCCA
This is a non-coding RNA of Astrocystis sublimbata, 107 nucleotides long. The record is from the annotation of a GenBank genome assembly. NCBI's taxonomy places the organism in Eukaryota, Fungi, Ascomycota, Sordariomycetes, Xylariales, Xylariaceae.